GAUGAACGCUGGCGGCGUGCCUAAUACAUGCAAGUCGAGCGAACAGAUGAGGAGCUUGCUCCUCUGACGUUAGCGGCGGACGGGUGAGUAACACGUGGAUAACCUACCUAUAAGACUGGGAUAACUUCGGGAAACCGGAGCUAAUACCGGAUAAUAUAUUGAACCGCAUGGUUCAAUAGUAAAAGACGGUUUUGCUGUCACUUAUAGAUGGAUCCGCGCCACAUUAGCUAGUUGGUAAGGUAACGGCUUACCAAGGCAACGAUGCGUAGCCGACCUGAGAGGGUGAUCGGCCACACUGGAACUGAGACACGGUCCAGACUCCUACGGGAGGCAGCAGUAGGGAAUCUUCCGCAAUGGGCGAAAGCCUGACGGAGCAACGCCGCGUGAGUGAUGAAGGUCUUCGGAUCGUAAAACUCUGUUAUUAGGGAAGAACAAAUGUGUAAGUAACUAUGCACGUCUUGACGGUACCUAAUCAGAAAGCCACGGCUAACUACGUG
This 497-nucleotide ribosomal RNA is filed under the name uncultured bacterium. RNAcentral describes it as "partial 16S ribosomal RNA". It matches the Rfam family "Bacterial small subunit ribosomal RNA", at positions 28 to 507 of the family's 1533-position model. The record is from RNAcentral.